This is a ribosomal RNA of Xenopus tropicalis (tropical clawed frog), 119 nucleotides long. The record is from Ensembl. Lineage: Eukaryota; Metazoa; Chordata; Amphibia; Anura; Pipidae.
GCCUACGGCCAUACCACCCUGAAAGCGCCCGAUCUCUUCUGAUCUCGGAAGCUAAGCAGGGACGGGCCUGGUUAGUACCUGGAUGGGAGACCGCCUGGGAAUACCAGGUGUUGUAGGCU